This 777-nucleotide ribosomal RNA is filed under the name uncultured bacterium. Its description in RNAcentral is "bacterial SSU rRNA". It matches the Rfam family "Bacterial small subunit ribosomal RNA", at positions 8 to 796 of the family's 1533-position model. The record is from RNAcentral.
AGAGUUUGAUCAUGGCUCAGGAUAAACGCUGGCGGCGUGCCUAACACAUGCAAGUCGCACGUCCUGCCCCUUCGGAGGCAGGCAGUGGCGGACGGGUGAGUAACACGUGGGUGACCUACCCCCAGGUGAGGGAUACCGGCGAGAAAUCGCCGACAAUACCGCAUAGGCUGCGCUCUCACAAAGCGAGUGCAGCAAAGCUCCACUUCGGUGGGGCGCUUGAGGAUGGGCCCGCGGCCGAUUAGCUAGUUGGGGAGGUAACGGCUCACCAAGGCGCCGAUCGGUAGCUGGUCUGAGAGGACGAUCAGCCACACUGGGAUUGAGAACGGCCCAGACUCCUACGGGGGGCAGCAGUGAGGAAUUUUCAGCAAUGGACGCAAGUCUGACCGAGCAACGCCGCGUGCAGGAGGACGCUUUUCGGAGUGUAAACUGCUUUUCUGAGGGAAGAGUGUCGGACGGUACCUCAGGAAGAAGCCCCGGCUAACUACGUGCCAGCAGCCGCGGUAAUACGUAGGGGGCGAGCGUUGUCCGGAGUUACUGGGCGUAAAGGGCCUGUAGGCGGUUGUGCGCGUUUGUGGUGACAGCUCCCGGCUUCACUGGGAGAGAGCCGCGAAGACGGCACAGCUAGAGGGCCAGAGAGGGACAUGGAACUCCGGGUGGAGCGGUGAAAUGCGUAGAGAUCCGGAAGAACACCAAAGGCGAAGGCAAUGUCCUGGCUGGUACCUGACGCUGAGGGGCGAAAGCUAGGGGAGCGAACGGGAUUAGAUACCCUAGUAGUCC